This 87-nucleotide transfer RNA is filed under the name Actinomycetes bacterium. Its description in RNAcentral is "Actinobacteria bacterium tRNA-Leu". It matches the Rfam family "tRNA". Rfam says of the family: Transfer RNA (tRNA) molecules are approximately 80 nucleotides in length. Their secondary structure includes four short double-helical elements and three loops (D, anti-codon, and T loops). The record is from RNAcentral. Lineage: Bacteria; Bacillati; Actinomycetota; Actinomycetes.
GCGCCUGUGGCGGAACUGGUAGACGCGCAAGGUUGAGGGCCUUGUGAGCUGUUUAGGCUCGUGGAGGUUCGACUCCUCUCAGGCGCA